This is a small nucleolar RNA of Spermophilus dauricus (Daurian ground squirrel), 129 nucleotides long. The record is from Ensembl. Lineage: Eukaryota; Metazoa; Chordata; Mammalia; Rodentia; Sciuridae.
GCAUGGAUUUGGAUUAACGGCAGCCGCAUCCCCUGGGCCUCUCAUGGUGUCCCAUGCCAGAGCAUCCUAUGGCCCUGAACCUGGCCUCUGGGCCUGUAGGCUCCUGGCACAGAAGCGAGUUGCACACUA